GCGAGGAUGGCGGAAUCGGCAGACGCGCUAGUUUGAGGGGCUAGUGCCAGAAAUGGCGUGGGGGUUCAAAUCCCCCUCCUCGCACCA
This 87-nucleotide transfer RNA is filed under the name Deltaproteobacteria bacterium. RNAcentral describes it as "tRNA-Leu". It matches the Rfam family "tRNA". From Rfam's summary of the family: Transfer RNA (tRNA) molecules are approximately 80 nucleotides in length. Their secondary structure includes four short double-helical elements and three loops (D, anti-codon, and T loops). RNAcentral also lists the same sequence under 2 other names. The record is from RNAcentral. Lineage: Bacteria; Pseudomonadati; Myxococcota; Myxococcia.